RNAcentral lists this ribosomal RNA (253 nucleotides) under uncultured bacterium. Its description in RNAcentral is "partial 16S ribosomal RNA". It matches the Rfam family "Bacterial small subunit ribosomal RNA", at positions 524 to 776 of the family's 1533-position model. The record is from RNAcentral.
AACGUAGGACGCAAGCGUUAUCCGGAGUUACUGGGCGUAAAGCGCGGGCAGGCGGUCUUGCCAGUCUGAUGUGAAAUCUCCCCGCUCAACGGGGAGCAGCCAUUGGAAACUACAAGACUGGAGUCUGACAGAGGUAGGCGGAAUUCCGGGUGGAGUGGUGAAAUGCGCAGAUAUCAGGAGGAACACCGGUGGCGAAGGCGGGUCUCUGGGCCGUAACUGACGCUGAGGAGCGAAAGCAUGGGGAGCGAACAGG